Molecule: long non-coding RNA, 5068 nt
Filed under: Gossypium barbadense (sea-island cotton)
Lineage: Eukaryota; Viridiplantae; Streptophyta; Magnoliopsida; Malvales; Malvaceae
Description: long non-coding RNA (GBAR_LNC001136)
Source: RNAcentral
AAAUGUUCAACUACAAGAUCACAAUAUCAAGCCUACAACAAGCAUUCAACUCCGACAAGGCUAACAACAUGUAAUCUUUAGCGAAAGAGAGAAAAAUGAGAGAACAUCACCAAAAAACGUAGCUGCUAAAAAAUGGGUAUUUCCGACGCUACAAGACUCGGAUGAAAAAUCCGACCGUACAAAGUCAAGAACACCUUAUCACCUAGCUGUUGUCCAAAAAUCAGCUCAAUCGAACCACGGAUGGUCCUUCGAUCGAAGAGUUGAUCACUGCUGCACCAAGCUUGAAAAACUGAUUUUUCUAUUCUCUUUCUCUCUACUUUUUUUUUUAGCUCUCUGCAGAAAUUUCUGCCCACUCCCACGUUAAUAAGCCAAAAAAUUGGCUUUUGACAAAACCAAAAGAAAAGGAAGGCAAAACAUUGUGGCAGAAAAUAUGGGUUUCCCACAUAGUGGGACCCAUACCCAACAAAUCUCCCCCUCCAACUAUGUGGGGAAUGCCUCCAUGCCGGAGGUCAAACAACAUGCUUUAAACUUUCCUCUUGGUAAGGCCUUCGUCAACAUAUCAGCACCAUUAUCAUUAGUGUGUAUCUUAUCAAGCUCUAACAGCUUAACUUCAAGAACAUCUCGUAUCCAAUGGUACCUCACAUCAAUAAGCUUAGAUCUAGCAUGAAAAGUUGAGUUCUUACCAAGAUGAAUAGCACUCUGGCUAUCACAGUACAGGACAUACUUCUCCUGAGUAAAACCAAGCUCAUGCACAAACUUCUUCAUCCAAAGUAUCUCCUUACACGCUUCGGUUGCUGCAAUGAACUCUGAUUCGGUGGUGGACAAUGCAACACACUUUUGCAGUCUCGAUUGCCAUGCCACAGCUCCCCCUGCAUAAGUGAUUAAGUAACCUGAAGUAGAUCUCCUCGAGUCAAUGUCUCCAGCCAUGUCUGAAUCUGUAUACCCAACAAGAACAGGUUUCUCAUUGCCGAAACAAAGUUUCAUGUUGGAAGUGCCACGAAGAUAUCUCAUAAUCCACUUCACUGCAUUCCAAUGCUCUCUGCCUAGAUUAGAAAGAAACCGACUAACUGUACCAAUGGCAUAAGCCAAGUCUGGUCUCGUGCAAACCAUUGCGUACAUCAAACUACCCACGGCUGAAGAGUAAGGAAUUUUCUGCAUCUCUUCCUUCUCCUUUUCUGUGGAAGGACUAUGCUUAACACUCAAUCUAAAGUGCAUAGCAAAGGGAGUAUUCACCGCUUUAGCUUUGUCCAUACUAAACCUUUGAAGUACUUUCUCAAUGUACCUCUCUUGUGAUAACCAUAAUUUCUUGGCCUUUCUAUCACGUGUCAGUCUUAUGCCAAGAAUUUGCUUUGCUGGCCCCAAAUCCUUCAUUGCAAAGGAUUUACUCAACUCUUGUUUCAACUUCUCAAUUCUAGAAGCAUUCUGACCAACAAUAAGCAUAUCAUCAACAUAGAGCAAAAGAAUAAUAAAAUCAUCACCAGAGAAUCUCUUAACAAACACACAAUGAUCAGAAGUAGUCUUCUUGUAGCCUUGCUCCCCCAUAACAGACUCAAACUUCUUGUACCAUUGCCUUGGAGCUUGCUUCAAACCAUACAAGCUCUUCUUCAAUCUGCACACAUAGUCCUCUUCCCCUUGUGCAACAAAACCCUCUGGCUGCUCCAUGUAAAGCUCUUCUUCCAAGUCACCAUGAAGAAAAGCAGUUUUCACAUCCAUUUGUUCAACCUCUAGGUCAUAACAAGCUACCAAACUCAGUAUAGUUCUGAUAGAGGACAUCUUUACAACCGGAGAAAAUAUUUCUUCAAAAUCAACCCCUUUUUUCUGAGUAUAACCCUUGACGACCAAUCUAGCUUUGUAUCGUGGAGAUGAAGACUUCUCUUCUUGCUUCAACCUGUAAACCCACCGAUUAUUCAAAGCUCUUUUGCCCUUAGGCAGUUUCACCAAUUCAAAAGUAUGGUUCUCAUGCAAGGAUUGAAGUUCGUCUUUCAUCGCUUCAACCCACUGAUCUUUGCAUUCACUCUCCAUAGCCUCUUCAUAACAUUCAGGUUCUCCCCCGUCAGUCAAAAGAACAUAUUCAUCAGGAGAAUACCUGACAGAAGAUCGUCGAUCUCUGGAAGACCUUCGAAGUGGAACUGCUGGUGGAGCUAUAGGUGCUUGUUGUUGAUCAUUCACAACAUCAUCCAUGGGAGUAUCAAAGUCACCUAUAGUCUGAUGGUUACCACUAACAUCACCAUGCACAUCAUCCUGGAUAGGAUCUGGUGAAGAGUCUAGGGGAACCGGAUUCACAUCGAUCAAGUCACCACUACCUUGUGAAUCCACUUUCUCCAUCUUAUCAAUGUCAUCAAUGGUCUGAUCCUCAAUGAAGACAACAUCUCUGCUUCUCACGAGUUUCUUCUGAACUGGAUCAUAGAGUCUAUAACCAAACUCACCAUCUAGACCAUAACCAAUAAAAAUGCAUUGUCGAGCCUUGGCAUCCAACUUGGAUCUUUCUUCCUUUGGAACAUGAACAAAUGCUUUACAACCGAACACACGUAGGUGAUCAUAUGACACGUCUUUACCAACCAAACUCUAUCUGGCACAUCACCUUUCAAAGGAACACUAGGAGACAGAUUUAUCACAUGUGUCACUGUAUUCAAAGCUUCAGCCCAAAAUAAUCUUGGUAACUUUGCAUCUGACAACAAACAUCUGACUCUCUCAAUCAAUGUUCGGUUCAUUCUUUCAGCUAACCCAUUUAACUGUGGAGUCUUUGGUGGUGUUCUCUGAUGUCUGAUUCCCUGUCGCAGACAAUACUCAUGAAACGACCCUGUGUACUCGCCACCAUUAUCAGUACGAAUGCACUUCAACUUUUUCCCAGUUUCCCUUUCAACUGAUGCUUGAAACUAUUUAAACACCUCAAAGACUUGAUUUUUAGACUUCAAAGUGUAAACCCAUAGCUUUUUUGAACAAUCAUCAAUGAAAGUCACAAAGUAAAGUGCACCACCAUGUGAUCUUACUUUUAUCGGACCACAAACAUCUGAAUGGACCAACUCUAGCAACUCUGAUUUCCUAUGAGGAGGAUGGCUUCUAAAUGAAACUCUUUUCUGCUUUCCUACUAGACAAUGAGCACAAUUCUUCAGUGUAGCAUUCUUUAAACCCGAAAGUUGAUUCUUCUUCGCUAAACAGCUAAGCCCCUUCUCACUCAUGUGACUGAGUCGUUUAUGCCACAACUCAAUUGAGCUGUCAUUCAGUGUCACAUUCACCAUCUCUCGAGAAGUCAAAGCUUGCAUCAAGUACAAAUUUGAGCUCUUCUUUCCUCGAGCCACAACUAAGGAGCCUUUAGUCAGCUUCCACUACCCUUCACUGAAGGUGUUACAAAAUCCCUCAUCAUCAAGUUUUCCUGCAGAAAUCAAAUUCAAACGGACAUCCGGUGCAUGUCUGACAUCCUUGAGAGUUAACUUUGUUCCAUUGUUACUUACCAAGCUAACAUCUCUCAUACCAAUAACCGAAACCAAACCAUCAUUAUCCAUCUUCAAUACCCUAAAAUCACCAGGAGUAUAAGAUGUGAAGAAUUCCUUCCUCGACGUGACAUGAAGUGAUGCACCAGUAUCAAUCACCCAACUAGUCUCGUCGCAUGCUAGGUUGACCAAAUUCUCAUCACAAAUAACUAACAAAUCUUCACGAGUAACAGUAGCAACACGCUCGGAUUUUUCAUCAUCAUUCCGGUCGUGUUUAUCACCACCACCUUUGUUCUCUUUCUUCCACUUGAAGCAAUAUUUCUUGAUAUGACCUUUCUUACCACAAUGAUGACACUCAAGAUUCUUGUAUCUCGAUCUUGACUUGCUUCGGCUUUUAUCUCUACCCUUUCCAUCUUUGUCUCUGUUUCUCCCCCUGUUCUCGAUAACCAACACCUCGGACUGUGAUGUAGAACCCUGAGAUCUUCUUCUAACCUCUUCAUUCAACACACCACUCUUAGCCAAAUCCAAAGUAAUAAUACCCUGUGGGGCAGAAUUAAUGAGUGAGACUCGAAAGGUCUCCCAAGAGUCUGGUAGAGUAGCAAGCAACCAAAGUCCUAAAAUCUCGUCAUCAAAUUUGACACCCAUACCAAGCAACUGAUUCAUCAUACUCUGAAAUUCACUAACAUGGUCAGCUAUAGACAUUCCUUCUUUAUAUUUCAGCGCCAUCAUUUUCUUCAGCAAAAAUAACUUGUUAUUGCCCGACCUCGAAGCAUACAAGCUUUCAAGCUUCUCCCACAAUGUUCGAGCAUGUGUCUCCUGAUCAAUGUGAUUGUAAACAUUUUCUUCAACAAAUUGCCGAAUAAAGCCACACACUUGUUGAUGCUCAAAUUCCCAUUCUUCAUCACUUUUCGAAUCGGGUUUUUGAGUAGUAAAGACCGGAAGAUGCAAAGCCUUCACAAACAACAAGUCCUUCAUUUUAUUCCGCCAAAGUUGAUAAUUUGUGCCAUUCAACAUAAUCAUCUUGCUCGUAUUAAUUUCCAUAAUUAUCUGACACAAUAACCAAGCUCUGGUACCAGUUUGUUGGGAAGAAACCGAACAACCGAAACAAAGCGAAAGCACAACCGGUGUUCUUUCUCUCCUUAUAACUCCUGUCAAAAAUUAUGGCAAGCACAAUAGCACAAGAUAUGUUCUCUAGCAACCUUAAUCAACCACAAAUCAACUAAUGCAACCACAACAAAAAAUAAAUAGAGACACAGAUAUUUUUACGUGGAAAACCCCUUUAAAUCAAGGGUAAAAAACCACGGGACUUUAGAGUCCGAUAAAGAGCUCUACUAUCAUCAAAUGUUCAACUACAAGAUCACAAUAUCAAGCCUACAACAAGCAUUCAACUCCGACAAGGCUAACAACAUGUAAUCUUUAGCAAAAGAGAGAAAAAUGAGAGAACAUCACCAAAAAACGUAGCUGCUGAAAAAUGGGUAUUUCCGACGCUACAAGACUCGGAUGAAAAAUCCGACCGUACAAAGUCAAGAACACCUUAUCACCUAGCUGCUGUCCAAAAAUCAGCUCAAUCGAACCACGGAUGGACCUUCGAUCGAAGAGUUGAUCACUGCUGCACCAAGCUUGAAAAACUGAUUUUU